UACGUAGGUGGCAAGCGUUGUCCGGAUUUACUGGGCGUAAAGGAUGCGUAGGCGGACAUUUAAGUCAGAUGUGAAAUACCCGAGCUUAACUUGGGUGCUGCAUUUGAAACUGGGUGUCUAGAGUGCAGGAGAGGUAAGUGGAAUUCCUAGUGUAGCGGUGAAAUGCGUAGAGAUUAGGAAGAACACCAGUGGCGAAGGCGACUUACUGGACUGUAACUGACGCUGAGGCAUGAAAGCGUGGGGAGCAGACAGG
Molecule: ribosomal RNA, 253 nt
Filed under: uncultured bacterium
Lineage: Bacteria
Description: partial 16S ribosomal RNA
Rfam family: Bacterial small subunit ribosomal RNA
Source: RNAcentral